UGUGUAUCUGUUGAAUGACUCCCUCGUAGUACACCAUUGAAGAGUCAUAAUUCCCCAGCAG
Molecule: microRNA precursor, 61 nt
Organism: Gadus morhua (Atlantic cod)
Lineage: Eukaryota; Metazoa; Chordata; Actinopteri; Gadiformes; Gadidae
Source: Ensembl